RNAcentral lists this long non-coding RNA (890 nucleotides) under Oryza sativa Indica Group (long-grained rice). RNAcentral's name for it is "lncRNA OsLima_Ung0005520". The record is from RNAcentral. Lineage: Eukaryota; Viridiplantae; Streptophyta; Magnoliopsida; Poales; Poaceae.
ACUCACCCAGAGCAACAGACCGUAAUGUCACUUAUUAACGGCUGCGGCGCCGGCGGCGAUCCGCCGCCUGCUCGUCGGGACACUGAGCAUCCAGCCGCUGCUAGUGAUUGCGGCUCUCCAUCGGCAGCUCAGCCUCCAGUUGCCGCCGUCAGCUGUCCUGCCGCCGCUGCCAUCAACAAUCCUCCUCCUCCUCCUCCGGCUGCACCAUCCCAUGACAGUGAUCGUGCUCCACGGGGUAUUCCACACACGCCUACUAUUGACCCGAUUCACAACCCUCCUGAUCCUCGACAUCCUCCCCCAGGUCCCCCAGGUCCCCCAUGACAAUCCCAACCCCGCCUCUGCGCGGUUGGGGCAGAGAAUAAAGACGUAGCCGGCGUCAUCGACCAGGGGCGGAAACAAUUAUGGGGCAGUAGGCCUUCAGCCUUAUGCAGCGGCGGAUCCAGAAAAUAGAGUCAUUGAGGUCACUACUCAAAUAUAGUGAUGUCAAUACAUAUAAUUCUUGUUUCUAGAGUGUAUUAGCAAAGAGAUUAGCGAGAAGUUAUUGGUGUCAGCUGAAAUCAAUGCUUACACUAUGGAUCCGCCACUGACCUUAUGCCUGGUUCCAUAAUCCUUAAUUGCUCGUUAUAAUCUUAAAAAUACCAUAUAAUUUAUGGAAAUAUUUAAACUCCUAUCAGUUCAGCACUUGAUGUGAAGAUUUUCUAGCUCCGUCACUGAUGAAGACAAAAGGUGACCUUCCACUUCCCACGUCGCGUCUGGUAGAAACCGUGGAAGAGGGAUAUGGAAGCGCCGGCCUAUCCACUUCGUCCAAGAUGAGGAAACUCCCGUGAUUUAUAUGCCAUAUAUGUAAACUUGGUCCGAUUUAUAUAUAUGUGGACAGUAAUGUUAUUAAU